UUCACUGAUGAAUUUUCCACAGGGCCUUUUUUCUUGAGUUCUGUCAGCUUAAUCUGUGCUGUUUCCACCUUUUCCCCAUUCAAACUUGACUUGUUUACAGGUUUGGUUUUUUAGCAAUAAAAGGCUAGUGGAUUUGUGGCUCUUGAAUCUAUCUCAUCGUUGGCUUUCAGUGCAAAGCCUGCCCCAAAUGCAUAAUUUGCCAUUAUUUCCAAAGAUGUUCAGUUUAUUCCUUUUUUUGCCAGACAUAUAAAAGAGCUCUUUG
Molecule: long non-coding RNA, 262 nt
Filed under: Homo sapiens (human)
Lineage: Eukaryota; Metazoa; Chordata; Mammalia; Primates; Hominidae
Description: non-protein coding lnc-IPO5-4:1
Source: RNAcentral